AGGGAGUAGAAGCCGAGCUGCAGUAGAGAACCAGUUUGUGCAAUUGAAUCAUUGCACAUGAAAGUGGUUAUUUAUACUGUUAACUUGCUAUUAUAUGUUAUAUUGCUUGGGUUUAUUGUUUUUGUCCACUUACUACAAACUAGAGCCACCUGGAAAAGGGAACUUUCAGGGAGCAAUUGCCUACAUCAGAUUGGCUUUAUAGGCAAGUUUGUGUGCCAGCCCACUGUGGGGUGAUGCCACCCUGAACCUGGGUAGUAUGACAAUGAACUGGGCAUCCUGGGUUGUAUAAGAAAGCAAGCUGAGGGAUGGAGAGAUGGCUCAGCAAUUAAGAGCACUGAUUGCUCUUCCAAAGGUUCUGAGUUCAAAUCCUAGCAACCACAUGGUGGCUCACAACCAUUUGUAAUGAGAUCUGACUCCCUCUUCUGGUGUGUCUAAAGACAGCUACAGUGUACUUAGAUAUAAUAAUUACAUCUUAAAAAAAAAAAAAAGCUAGUUGAGCAGCUUUCUACAUGGUUUCUGCCUCAGUUCCUGCGUCGAGCUUCUACCCUGGCUUCCCUCCGCCGUGUACUAUUUUCUGCAAGAGUAAGAUGAGAUCAUCUUUUUCCCCCACAUUGUUUUGGUCACAGUGUUUAUCACAACAACAGAAACCAAACUGAACGGUGUGUGUUCAUGGUGGGGAAGGCAGUGCCUGUGCAAUGGGGCCUCUGUGAAAGUCGUAGGACAACUGUGUGGGGUUUAUUCUAUCCACUCACCUCUAUGUGGGUAGGUUCUGGGGUCACGAGCCUGGUGGCAAGCACCUUAAUCACUGAGCCAUCUUGAUCACUCUUGGUAUAGUCGGUGUUUCUUUAAUUUUGUAUGAUUUGUUUUCAUGAUUGUACUUUUAAAGAACUUUUUUUUUUUUUUUUUUUUUAAUUUUUAGGUUUUGGAUCCCAGAACAAGGAUGAUUUUAUUCAAGUUGUUGCAUAAAGACCACAUAUCAGAGAUACAUGGCUGUAUUAGCACUGGAAAAGAAGUGAGCUGCUUUGGUUGGGAUGAGAGUAUUUUCUUUCAUAUUAGUUUCCUUGUUUCAAAUACCCAGGAAGGCUAAGGCUCUUUAGAGUUUAUGCCUUUAAAAAGAAAAGAAAGCCAAGCAUUGUAGCACACACUUUUAAUCCCAUUACUUGGGAGGCAGAAUCAGGUUGAUCUCUGUGAGUUCCAGACCAGCAUGGUCUAUAUUGCAAAUUCUAGUCCAACUAGGGCUACUUAUAGCCCUGUCAAAAAAGAAAGAAAGCUGGCUGUGGUGACCCUUCAAUUCCAUCACUCGGAGGCAGGGGCAGUCAGAUCUCUGUGAGUUUGAGACCAGCCUGGUCUACAAAGCAAGUUCUAGAGAAGCCAGGACUACACAGAGAAAAAGCUGUAUACACCCGAUAGUUUAUUAACAGUGUAUCUAGAAAUUAUCUUGCUUGGUAGUCAGUUGAUAAGAAACUGUAUGCGUAACUUACUAUGAUUGCUUUAUUGUAUUGUUGAGUCUGUGUGUAGAGCAGUGAGCUUAGAUUUUCAGAUUACUGUGGUCCUGAGUUCCAAUUUAAAAUUACCAUUAAUGAAUGAGGUUUAUUGGCUCAUUUCUCUUAGCCAGUCUUUUUUCUUUAUUUUAAGUCUAGAAAAAUAAGUGUGACUUUUUUUUUCUCUAGAUGGGGUUUCUCUGUGUAGCCUUGGCUGUCCUGGAACCCUGGAACUCACUCUGUAGACCAGGCUGGCCUUGAACUCAGAGAUCCUAAGCCUCCUAUGUGCUGUGUUUAAAGACUAAGUGUG
This 1791-nucleotide long non-coding RNA is filed under the name Mus musculus (house mouse). Its description in RNAcentral is "long non-coding RNA chr13:38046325-38048116". The record is from RNAcentral. Lineage: Eukaryota; Metazoa; Chordata; Mammalia; Rodentia; Muridae.